AAAGUCGUAACAAGGUUUCCGUAGGUGAACCUGCGGAAGGAUCAUUAACACUUUUUAUUAUUUUGUUUUUUUUCUAAAACAAAAUUUAAAACCCCACAAUUUUGGAUGAAUUUAAUUAAUUUAUUUUUUAUUUUAUUUUUUUUAUUAUAACCCUAUUAUUUUGACUAACAUUUUUAUUUAAUUAUUAAAAAAUUAAAAAAACAACUCUUAACAACGGAUAUCUUGGCUCUC
This 231-nucleotide unclassified non-coding RNA is filed under the name fungal sp. RNAcentral's name for it is "partial internal transcribed spacer region". The stretch from base 1 to 47 matches the Rfam family "Eukaryotic small subunit ribosomal RNA", at positions 1785 to 1831 of the family's 1831-position model. The record is from RNAcentral. Lineage: Eukaryota; Fungi.